Molecule: long non-coding RNA, 870 nt
Filed under: Apteryx owenii (little spotted kiwi)
Lineage: Eukaryota; Metazoa; Chordata; Aves; Apterygiformes; Apterygidae
Description: lncRNA (ENSAOWG00000006500.1)
Source: RNAcentral
GAAAAAGCAGAAAGUGCCUAAUAAUUGGCUUCAAAUUGACAAAUGUAGCAAGUUCAGAUACAGUCGCCGAAUUCAGGAGGUGAAGGUGGACCCUGAAUCCCAGUUAGAAUUGUGACACAGAGACACUGGAUGAAAAAAGAAAAAAAGACCAAACAUCUAGAAAUACCUACAGUUCCUACACUUGAAAUGGGAUUGUUUUUAUAUUUUGUUUAUUUGCAUCUCUGUGUUGCCACUUUGUAACCAGAAAUCUUAUUGCUUGUCCUGGCGAAAUGAACCGUUGCUGUGUUUUGCCCUUGUUUAUUGUGUGCUAACGGUGACGCUGGGAGAAGCUCACCGAUGUGGUGAAUGCUGUCCCGCUGCACGUGUGAAACGGAGUAAAACACCGCGCGUAGCAAUCCCCGAAGGCUCUGCAUACCCCGGAAGUACCUGGGGACCUGAGGGCCCAAGGAGGAGGUCUGGGCAGGAGCGUCCUUCUGGGUGCACGGCAGCGCUGCCGCUCCUCGAGCUCCAGGUUCAUGCAGACCAUCAACAUGGCUUGUGGGUACAGAAGUCCAUGCUCGGUAAGYGGAAAGCAAACGCCUGCUCGGCAGCUGUGUGGAGAAGGAACCACUCCAAGUGGCAGUAGCCCCAUUUCUGAUGAUCGCAGGACAUCCGCAGAGGAAUGAGCUCAUGUGUCCCCUUCAGCAACGCCAAGCAGUGAAAUGGGAAGCCYUGAGGUGUGCAAAUUUCAAUAGCUUUUCUUCUCACUGAUUCUGUUUUUUUUUCUUAGAGCGAAGGGACGGGAAGGGUAGCUUAAAUUUUGUUGCCUGGGCUUGCAUCUAUUCUGGUCUUCUCAGCUUUUGAUUAAGAACCAGGUGACCUCAUUAUUCA